RNAcentral lists this long non-coding RNA (222 nucleotides) under Gallus gallus (chicken). Lineage: Eukaryota; Metazoa; Chordata; Aves; Galliformes; Phasianidae. The record is from RNAcentral.
GGUUGCUGUGAAUCUCUUCCUUUCCAAAGAGAUGUGAAAUGACCAGGUCUGGUAAAGCAUUUGUCCAACCUGAAAUCUUUGUUGCUGCCCAGUCCAUCCAACCUUCAGCACAAGGGUUUAUGUUAAUGAGAACCAAUCCCUCCACCAUGUCCGGGUGGUUUAAAGCAAAUCUGGUCAGGACGUAGGCACCAGCUCCAGUUCCCAUUCCAAUAAUGCUCUUCA